RNAcentral lists this long non-coding RNA (522 nucleotides) under Pogona vitticeps (central bearded dragon). Its description in RNAcentral is "lncRNA (ENSPVIG00000004082.1)". The record is from RNAcentral. Lineage: Eukaryota; Metazoa; Chordata; Lepidosauria; Squamata; Agamidae.
AUGUGUUGGACCAAGGAGGCCCUGAAACUGUCCUGUGGUUGUCAUGGCAACCACACAUUCCUGAGCUGGACCCCUGCAGGCAUCUCCAGGAAACGCUUCCAUAAUUGCCUCAGCCCUUCCCCAGAUGAGAAAUUGCAGCACACAGCAAAUUUGCUUGAGCAACAACUGAAAGAGUCUGAAAAGCUGAUAUACCAAGAAGGGAGGAAAAAAGCAGCAUGGAAGGCAAGUGCCAAGUUUGCAAAUCUCCAGGAGUUGCUCCUGCCCGGGACGGUCCAGGGCCCUGAUUCGGGCCACGUUUUAAUCAGGGCAGCGGGGGGCGGGGUUGAAGCUGGGAUUGGGGAGACAGUGGCUGUUUUUAAUAUUGGUCACGUUAAAAUCUUGAAUGUGCUAUUUAAGAAUCAUGGCUGCGAAUGUGCUAUUUAAGAAUCAUGGCUGCGUUAGAGGUAUUCCUGUAGUAUUCCUGCAGCAUAAUUCCCCCCUAAUCACCUAGAGAUGGAAAUAAAACAGAAGUGCCCCUAGGCA